CAAUAGCGUAUAUUAAAGUUGUUGCGGUUAAAAGCUCGUAGUUGGAUUUCUGCUGAGGACGACCGGUCCGCCUCUGGGUGAGUAUCUGGCUUGGCCUUGGCAUCUUCUUGGAGAACGUAGCUGCACUUGACUGUGUGGUGCGGUAUCCAGGACUUUUACUUUUGAGGAAAUUAGAGUGUUUCAAGCAGGCGUAAGCUUUCGAAUACAUUAGCAUGGAAUAAUAAAAUACGACUCGCGUGGUCUAUUUUGUUGGUUUGCACACGCAAGUAAUGAUUAAUAGGGACAGUUGGGGAUAUUCAUAUUUGAGCGUCAGAGGUGAAAUUCUUGGAUCGCUGAAAGAUGAGCUUAGGCGAAAAGCAUUUAUCAAAGAUGUUUCAUUAUUCAAGAACGAAAGUUAGGGG
RNAcentral lists this ribosomal RNA (401 nucleotides) under uncultured eukaryote. Its description in RNAcentral is "bacterial SSU rRNA". It matches the Rfam family "Eukaryotic small subunit ribosomal RNA", at positions 592 to 996 of the family's 1831-position model. The record is from RNAcentral.